This is a long non-coding RNA of Onychostruthus taczanowskii (white-rumped snowfinch), 519 nucleotides long. RefSeq lists it as uncharacterized. The record is from RefSeq and is a predicted model, not a curated record. Lineage: Eukaryota; Metazoa; Chordata; Aves; Passeriformes; Passeridae. The transcript is spliced from 4 exons.
CGCGCAUGGGACGCGUUUGUCCCGGGCACUGUCCCGGGUGUUCCCGAACUCUCUGGACACAACGCUGUUCCCUGUGCUCUGGGAUGACCCUGCCUGAAGAGGGGCGUGGGACCAGAUGCCCCCCUGUGUUCCCUUCCAACCUGUUAUACCCGCUCGGGCUGGGAAGGUGACAACCAGCAAGUGUAGAAAAUGUGGGGGAAAGAGUAUGAAAAACAGCCCCAGUGCCCUCAGCACCCCAGAACAGCAGCAUUAGUAAGGAACUCAACUCUUACAAUCUGAGAAAUUGUCAGAGACUAUGCCAUAUUUUCUUUAAAUUUCACAAGAACAAGCACUGAAUGACAGUACUGGGGUUGUCUUCUUAAAAAUCUGAAUUUGUAACAUUUGGAGGAAAAAUUACUUGCUGUUCUGCAACAAUUAAUUCCAGAAAAGUAACCUAAUGUUAUUUUAGCAUGACUUCAACACUCGAAAGCUCACUGUGAUGCACAUGUGUGUGGAGGAAAUACUUCCAUUUGAAUAAAA